CAGUCGGAGAUCACACGGGGGCCAUAUUUCGGUCAUUUGGUAGAAGACAUGAGUCAGCAAAGCAACAGCGUUUUCCCCCAUAUGGAGAGUGACAGAUGGCACCAUUUCAUGCCUCCAUAAGUCCACAAGGCGAAAUGGACUGUGACGCAGCUUCUUCACAGCCAAUUUCAGCUGGCUCAUAUCGGCAAGAACCCCCCCCCCCCCCCCCCCCAAAAAAACAAACAAAAAAAAAAAACAAUAGCACCCUGACUAUUGACAACAAUUCUGACAACAGCUCUUGAGUGAUGACGAUAAAUUACUCAAGAACAGGCCAAGACUGACAGAACAGAAGGUUGGAACAAAUGGCCACAUCAUCUAUUGUCAUAAAGGCACAGUAAAUAGUCACUGCGUCUGAAU
Long non-coding RNA from Alosa sapidissima (American shad), 396 nucleotides. RefSeq lists it as uncharacterized. The record is from RefSeq and is a predicted model, not a curated record. NCBI's taxonomy places the organism in Eukaryota, Metazoa, Chordata, Actinopteri, Clupeiformes, Clupeidae. The transcript has 3 exons.